AUUGAACGCUGGCGGCAGGCCUAACACAUGCAAGUCGAGCGGAUGAAGGGAGCUUGCUCCUGGAUUCAGCGGCGGACGGGUGAGUAAUGCCCAGGAAUCUGCCUGGUAGUGGGGGAUAACGUCCGGAAACGGGCGCUAAUACCGCAUACGUCCUGAGGGAGAAAGUGGGGGAUCUUCGGACCUCACGCUAUCAGAUGAGACUAGGUCGGAUUAGCUAGUUGGUAGGGUAAAGGCCUACCAAGGCGACGACCCGUAACUGGUCUGAGAGGAUGAUCAGUCACACUGGAACUGAGACACGGUCCAGACUCCUACGGGAGGCAGCAGUGGGGAAUAUUGGACAAUGGGCGAAAGCCUGAUCCAGCCAUGCCGCGUGUGUGAAGAAGGUCUUCGGAUUGUAAAGCACUUUAAGUUGGGAGGAAGGGCAGUAAGUUAAUACCUUGCUGUUUUGACGUUACCAACAGAAUAAGCCCCGGCUAACUUCGUG
Molecule: ribosomal RNA, 484 nt
Filed under: uncultured bacterium
Lineage: Bacteria
Description: partial 16S ribosomal RNA
Rfam family: Bacterial small subunit ribosomal RNA
Source: RNAcentral